GAGUUCAUCAUCACAAGGUGGUUCGGCGUGACGUGAACUCUGUCCAUACCUCAAGAGAUACCUUACGCGCCUCUCCGACCGAAGUACAUAUAUAUAUAUCCGAAUUUCGUGCCCCUCUAAUAGGCUGGUCCACAGAAUCUGCCUACUGCAGCAAGCUAAACCCACCAUACAAUAAAAUUUUGACAGCAUGACAAGGCUAAUAUUUUACUGCCCAGCCUGCAAGGGUAAAAUAAAACAAUUCAUACAAUUCAUAAAACACAACUCAGCCAGUCAUGCCAACACAAUAACAAUAUAACAUAAGCCAUCAAUUUCCAAUCAUAAAUUUACAACAUACCGGUGGUCUCCAAUUACUCUAUUUUCAAAAUCGUUAUUUCGUUUCAAGACAAUUUAUAAAAUCUUUUCAUUUAAACAUAUUUUUGUUUGCAAAACCUAAAAUUAUCCAUUUAACUCAAUUUCAUAAAAUUUCACCAAAAUCGAGUUAAAAAAUACUUUAGAUAAUUAAAAUGAUGAUAAAGUUACUCACAAUGUCUAGAAUGGGGAUUUUCGAAGUACUCAGAUUACUGGUCCUCGGGUGCAAUUCCCUUGCCUUUAUCGGAGGACUCACCACCUUAACACAAUACAAAAUCGAGAAACUUACUUCAUUGGUACUAAAUUGAAUUUAAACUAAUUUAGAUUACUAAUGCAUAAUAUGAAAUGCAAAAUGCACUAGUAACCAUCUAAUCCCCGAUAUUGGUUUAAUUCGAGUUAUCACCCGAUUAAUUACUAACGCGUCCAAUUUAAUCCCAAAUUACUCCAUUUCUUUUCUAAUGCCUCAAUUCACCAAACAUUAUUCAAAAAAACACCAAUUUCAGCAUCAAAACCUUCCAAUUUCUUCAUGGAAAAAUUCGGCCAUUAUAGUGCACUAACAUUGUGAUUUUUCCUACUUAAUUUUUCUCACCGUUAUUCAUCAUUUUCUAAGCCAUUUCUCUUGAAAUAAUAACAAUCCAUCACCCACACAUAUCAAGGAAGAUUCGGCCAAUGAAUAUUCAUGGGAAAAAUGGAUUCUUUUCUUGUUGUUUUGCUUCUAAAUAUGCUAAACUAACUAAAAACACUAACAUAACUUAAAAUCAAAUCAAUCCAACAUCUUUCUCUCUCCAUACGCAUUUUGACCAGCCAUGAAUUCAUCAUGAAAACAUGUAAUUUAACCAUGAAAAAUAAGGAGAAAUGCUUAAGGAAAAUAGAUUUCAAGUUUAAAUGGAAAAAUCCUACCUUUUUCACU
RNAcentral lists this long non-coding RNA (1258 nucleotides) under Theobroma cacao (cacao). RNAcentral's name for it is "long non-coding RNA (TCAC_LNC000940)". Lineage: Eukaryota; Viridiplantae; Streptophyta; Magnoliopsida; Malvales; Malvaceae. The record is from RNAcentral.